Molecule: long non-coding RNA, 314 nt
Organism: Limulus polyphemus (Atlantic horseshoe crab)
Lineage: Eukaryota; Metazoa; Arthropoda; Merostomata; Xiphosura; Limulidae
Exons: 3
Source: RefSeq, a predicted model, not a curated record
UAACAUUGGUUGUGUAUGCCGGUAAGUACCGAGUUAGUGGUUUUUGCCAAAGUGAAGUAUUCAGUGUUUGAACGGUGAAGCUCUGAUGUAACCAUGGAAAUAUUAAAGAUGAAGGUUGAACCUUUUUCUGAUGAGGAGCAGGACACUUUGCUGGAUAUCCAAUUUGUGAAAAAAGAAGAAGAUGGCUUUAUAAUAACUAGUAAAACAGGAGAAGCUGAUUUCUUAGAAGAAAGAUCUUCAGAUAACACUUUCAAGUUUGGUGUAGCAAAAGAAGAACAAGAAGAGAACUAUGAUGGAGGAACAGAAAAAACUUA